AUCUACUCUUGUUCUU
This 16-nucleotide small RNA is filed under the name Arabidopsis thaliana (thale cress). RNAcentral describes it as "ATSL186890". The record is from RNAcentral. Lineage: Eukaryota; Viridiplantae; Streptophyta; Magnoliopsida; Brassicales; Brassicaceae.